GCUUGGUUGGCUCAGCUGGUUAGAGCGCCGGUCUCAUAUGUAAAGUAUGAUCGAUGAUGUUAUUGAAUAAACCGGAGAUCAUGGGUUCGAUCCUCAUACCGAACA
This is a transfer RNA of Piloderma croceum F 1598, 105 nucleotides long. It matches the Rfam family "tRNA". From Rfam's summary of the family: Transfer RNA (tRNA) molecules are approximately 80 nucleotides in length. Their secondary structure includes four short double-helical elements and three loops (D, anti-codon, and T loops). The record is from Rfam. Lineage: Eukaryota; Fungi; Basidiomycota; Agaricomycetes; Atheliales; Atheliaceae.